GACGAACGCUGGCGGCGUGCCUAAUACAUGCAAGUAGAACGCUGAAGGAGGAGCUUGCUCUUCUGGAUGAGUUGCGAACGGGUGAGUAACGCGUAGGUAACCUGCCUGGUAGCGGGGGAUAACUAUUGGAAACGAUAGCUAAUACCGCAUAACAGUAGAUGCUGCAUGACAUUUGCUUAAAAGGUGCAAUUGCAUCACUACCAGAUGGACCUGCGUUGUAUUAGCUAGUUGGUGGGGUAACGGCUCACCAAGGCGACGAUACAUAGCCGACCUGAGAGGGUGAUCGGCCAAAAUGGGACGGGGACACGGCCCAGACUCCUACGGGAGGCGGCAGUGGGGAAUCUUCGGCCAUGGACGGAAGUCUGACCGGGCAACGCCGCGGGGGUGAAAAAGGUUUUCGGGUCGUAAAGCUCUGUUGUAAGAGAAGAACGGGUGUGGGAGGGGAAAGUUCACACUGUGAGGGUAUUUAACAAGAAAGGGGCGGCUAACUACGU
This 494-nucleotide ribosomal RNA is filed under the name uncultured bacterium. RNAcentral describes it as "partial 16S ribosomal RNA". It matches the Rfam family "Bacterial small subunit ribosomal RNA", at positions 28 to 506 of the family's 1533-position model. The record is from RNAcentral.